UGGGGAAUAUUGCACAAUGGAGGGAACUCUGAUGCAGCGACGCCGCGUGAACGAAGAAGGCUUUCGAGUCGUCAAGUUCUUUUAUAUGGGAAGAUAAUGACGGUACCAUAAGAAAAAGCCCCGGCUAACUACGUGCCAGCAGCCGCGGUAAUACGUAGGGGGCUAGCGUUGUCCGGAAUCACUGGGCGUAAAGGGUUCGCAGGCGGAAAUGCAAGUCAGGUGUACAAGGCAGUAGCUUAACUACUGUACGCAUUUGAAACUGCAUAUCUUGAGAAGAGCAGAGGUCAGAGAGAUUUUUAGUCACGCGUUGAAAUGCGUAGAUCUUAAAAACAAUACCGGUGUCUAUGGCGGCUUACUGGGCUCAUUCUUCCGCAGAGGAACGAACGCGUGGGUAGCAAACAGG
This 403-nucleotide ribosomal RNA is filed under the name bacterium. RNAcentral's name for it is "partial 16S ribosomal RNA". It matches the Rfam family "Bacterial small subunit ribosomal RNA", at positions 355 to 776 of the family's 1533-position model. The record is from RNAcentral.